This 1197-nucleotide ribosomal RNA is filed under the name Triticum aestivum (bread wheat). RNAcentral's name for it is "partial small subunit ribosomal RNA". The record is from RNAcentral. Lineage: Eukaryota; Viridiplantae; Streptophyta; Magnoliopsida; Poales; Poaceae.
AUGUCGUCGACGUUCGCCGGUGUAUCCGCCGUGGCCGGCGGCAAGCUGAGCCCUUCCACAGCAUCGUCCUUCCUCACCAGCACGGACUGGGGGUACCACCUGCUUGUGGUCCAAGACUACUCGCGCACCAAGCAAGCCACUCCCACCGGCGAGUGGAUCAGCUCUCGUCCUUUCAUGGUAGGAGGCCAUAAAUGGUGCAUCGACUACUUUCCUAACGGCUACACGGAGAGUUGUGCCAACUUCAUUUCUCUAUUUGUUAACCUUCUCGAUGACGACGCUGAAGAGCCUGUGAAGGGGAAGUUCAAUGUCAGUUUCAUCGACGAGGCGGAGAAGCACAAGCCAAUGUACAUUUCGGCUGAAGCAUUCAAUUUCCACUCUGAGUCCAUGCUGGGCUACAACAUGUUCAUGGAAAAAGAUGUCCUUGAACAAUCAUCGCAUCUAAUGAAUGAUUGUUUCACCAUCCGGUGUGACAUCAUGUUGUUCAGCUCCAAGGAUGCCGGUGGCGAUAAGGUGCUCAUGUCUGAAAUAGACCAACAUUUGAACAAUCUCCUUCAAACUAAGGUGGGUGCUGAUGUGACAUUCGAGGUCAGCGGCGAGAUGUUCGCUGCGCACCGAUGUGUGCUUGCAGCCCGGUCUAAAGUCUUCAUGGCACAACUCUUUGGCCCCAUGAAGGAGGGCACUACUACAUCCUGUGUCAUACAGAUCAAAGACAUGGAAGCAAAAGUGUUCAGGGCUCUGCUUAGCUUCAUCUACACAGACUCACUCCCUAAGAUGGAGGAUGACAAGAUGGAGGAAGACGAAGCAGCUGCUGUGGAAGAAGGACAAGAAGAGGAAGCAACAGAGGAUGAAAUGUCAGAAGUUGCGGAACAAGGACAAAGAGAGAAACCACCAGAGACUGUGCAAUGGCUGCAAGGCUUGCUUGUAGCCGCAGACAGAUAUGAUCUCCAACGGCUCAGGUUUAUCUGUGAAAGGCAGUUGUCCUUGCGCAUAGGUGUGAGCUCGGUGGCGUCUACUCUUGCUCUAGCUGAGCAGCACCACUGCCGCCCAUUGAAGGCGGCAUGCUUGAAGUUUAUCCAAGCCCAAUCUCCGUCGUGUUUGCAAAUAGUAAUGGCGACCGAUGGCUGGGAGCACUUAAUUACAACCUAUCCCUUUGUUUUGAACGAGCUCUUUGCCAUGUUUGCUUUGAACCAGAAGUAA